CAGUCGCCGCGGUAAGACAGAGGAUGCAAGCGUUAUCCGGAAUGAUUGGGCGUAAAGCGUCUGUAGGUGGCUUUUCAAGUCCGCCGUCAAAUCCCAGGGCUCAACCCUGGACAGGUGGUGGAAACUACCAAGCUGGAGUACGGUAGGGGCAGAGGGAAUUUCUUGUGGAGUGGUGAAAUGCAUUGAGAUCGAAAAGAACACCAACGGCAAAAGCACUCUGCUAGGCUGACACUGACACUGAGAGACGAAAGCUAGGGGAGAAAAUGGGAUUAGAUACCCCCGUAGUCCCUGUCUCUUAUAC
Molecule: ribosomal RNA, 301 nt
Filed under: uncultured bacterium
Lineage: Bacteria
Description: partial 16S ribosomal RNA
Rfam family: Bacterial small subunit ribosomal RNA
Source: RNAcentral